CCCCCCCCCCCCAUAACUUUAAAUACAUCCACGGGCUUAAAAUUUAUUCAAACAGGGUACAGCCUAUUUGAAACAGGAUACAACCUCCAUCAGCAGGUAAUGCUUAAACCUACGUGAUCAAGUGGGCCUAAGAGCAGCCAUCUUUCAAAAAGCGUUAAAGCCUAAUCACACCUUACCAUUAAUCCCAACCAAAACCCAAAACCUCUCAUCACCUAUUGAAUGACUCCAUACCAAUAUGGAAGCCCUUAUGUUAGAACUAGUAACAAGAAUAACUAUUCUCCCUAAAUGUGAGUGUAAGCCAAAAUGGACCACCCACCGGCAAUUAUCGUCAAUGAACCAACAGUAACAACUCCCCAAGAAAAUCUUACUGCAUUCAGCGUUAACCUUACACAAGAGCCUUUCCGGAAAGUAGUAAAAAAAGAGGAAG
This 427-nucleotide ribosomal RNA is filed under the name Hylophorbus sp. LAO-2013b. RNAcentral describes it as "partial 16S ribosomal RNA". Lineage: Eukaryota; Metazoa; Chordata; Amphibia; Anura; Microhylidae. The record is from RNAcentral.